RNAcentral lists this ribosomal RNA (468 nucleotides) under uncultured bacterium. Its description in RNAcentral is "partial 16S ribosomal RNA". It matches the Rfam family "Bacterial small subunit ribosomal RNA", at positions 28 to 507 of the family's 1533-position model. The record is from RNAcentral.
GACGAACGCUGGCGGCGUGCUUAACACAUGCAAGUCGAACGGAAAGGCCCUGCUUUUGUGGGGUGCUCGAGUGGCGAACGGGUGAGUAACACGUGAGUAACCUUCCCUUGACUUUGGGAUAACUUCAGGAAACUGGGGCUACUACCGGAUUGGAGCUCCUGCUGCAUGGUGGGGGUUGGAAAGUUUCGGCGGUUGGGGAUGGACUGGCGGCUUAUUAGCUUGUUGGUGGGGUAGUGGCUUACCAAGGCUUUGACGGGUAGCCGGCCUGAGAGGGUGACCGGCCACAUUGGGACUGAGAGACGGCCCAGACUCCUACGGGAGGCAGCAGUGGGGAAUAUUGCACAAUGGGCGGAAGCCUGAUGCAGCAACGCCGCGUGCGGGAUGACGGCCUUCGGGGUGUAAACCGCUUUCGCCUGUGACGAAGCGUGAGUGACGGUAAUGGGUAAAGAAGCACCGGCUAACUACGUG